GAAUCAUAGGUGUGUCACCUGUGGUGUCGUAACGAAAAGUUGCACAAUUUAAAUAAUUGUUGCGAUUGAGAAAUAAUGAUACAUCCGUUACUAAGAGUGUCGUCCAAAGCUGGUGCCAGAAGACUCGGUAAGGCCAGAGACGCAAACGUUAGUCGUAAUGAACAGGCGUAAAGGGUUCGUAGGCAUCUUUUUAAAGAAAAUUAAAGAUAGAAUCUAAUGGAGUUUGACUCGCUAAAUGCUGUAUGUAGGGAUGAAAUAUUUAGAUAUAUGGUAGAAGGCUAAAGGCGAUAGCAUCUUCUCAUGUAAAGAUUGACGCUGAGGAACGAAGGAGAUACAAAGGAAAAAGGAUUAGAUACCCAAGUACCAACUCUGUCAACGAUGAAUGGUGGUCAUUAGCCCUAGGUUAGUGGACAAGUAAACACGUGUACCAUUCCGCCUUGUGAGUACGGUGGCAAACGCUGGAAACAAAAAAAUUAGUCGGUCUUGAAGCAAACGAAGUGAAGCAUG
This 507-nucleotide ribosomal RNA is filed under the name Tubulicium raphidisporum. Its description in RNAcentral is "partial small subunit ribosomal RNA". It matches the Rfam family "Bacterial small subunit ribosomal RNA", at positions 410 to 941 of the family's 1533-position model. Lineage: Eukaryota; Fungi; Basidiomycota; Agaricomycetes; Trechisporales; Hydnodontaceae. The record is from RNAcentral.